Molecule: ribosomal RNA, 110 nt
Filed under: Karlodinium veneficum
Lineage: Eukaryota; Dinophyceae; Gymnodiniales; Kareniaceae
Source: RNAcentral
AUUAAGACGUUAGAUAGCAUAGUUGUUCCACACUGAAACUUUUCGAACUUAAUCUGUGAAAAACUUCUGCGGUGAAAAUACUAAUUGGAAAAAUAGCACAAUGUUUUUAU